This 93-nucleotide transfer RNA is filed under the name Rhizobium rosettiformans. RNAcentral's name for it is "tRNA-Leu". Lineage: Bacteria; Pseudomonadati; Pseudomonadota; Alphaproteobacteria; Hyphomicrobiales; Rhizobiaceae. The record is from RNAcentral.
AGUUAAAUUGACCAAGGGAAUCAAAGUGUUAGAAAUUUUGACGUGACCCUACGAAUCUGGGGGUCAGGAGUUCGAAUCUCUUCGGGUGCGCCA